UAGCAUAUGUUAAUCUAUUAACGAAAGUUUGGAACGAGCUACAAUGGCCUGUCUUUAGCUUCAUGCACCUUACUUUUCUCCUUUUUUCUACUUCCUCCCUCUUCCCCUAUCUUCCUUUUUUCACUUCUUCUUGCUAUUUUUUUUUACCUAUUUUCGGAGGUCGAAGCUGCUUUCAUUUUGUAUGCCUAAUUCAUUUUACUUAAUGAAUGAAGCAGGUAGCUCGCUACCUAUUUUUCAAAGAGCAAUGCUUCAAUACACCAUAGGUAUUAAAAUUAAACUCUUAAUUAGUAAAGGGUAUAGUUGGAUUUUACAUAAAAUAACCUAUUGAAUAGGUUGUCAAUUUGAAUUAGUUAAUAUGACAAUAUUGGAAAAAAAUUAGUAGCAUAUACUAAAAUUGUCAGCAUCUUUUAAUUAGUUUUGUUACUUACCAAAUUAGAUAAUACCCAAUUUGUUAAGUAUCAAACUCAAAAAAAUAUUGAAUUUAAAUUUAAGUUUUGAAGUUGGUAUUGUAAUGUAAAGUUUUAAUUUCAAAAUUUAUAUUAAACUUUUAAAUUUUGAA
Molecule: long non-coding RNA, 559 nt
Filed under: Ananas comosus (pineapple)
Lineage: Eukaryota; Viridiplantae; Streptophyta; Magnoliopsida; Poales; Bromeliaceae
Description: long non-coding RNA (ACOM_LNC018698)
Source: RNAcentral